RNAcentral lists this ribosomal RNA (497 nucleotides) under uncultured bacterium. RNAcentral describes it as "partial 16S ribosomal RNA". It matches the Rfam family "Bacterial small subunit ribosomal RNA", at positions 28 to 507 of the family's 1533-position model. The record is from RNAcentral.
GAUGAACGCUGGCGGCGUGCCUAAUACAUGCAAGUCGAGCGAACGGACGAGAAGCUUGCUUUUCUGAUGUUAGCGGCGGACGGGUGAGUAACACGUGGAUAACCUACCUAUAAGACUGGGAUAACUUCGAGAAACCGGAGCUAAUACCGGAUAAUAUUUUGAACCGCAUGGUUCAAAAGUGAAAGACGGUCUUGCUGUCACUUAUAGAUGUAUCCGCGCUGCAUUAGCUAGUUGGUAAGGUAACGGCUUACCAAGGCAACGAUGCAUAGCCGACCUGAGAGGGUGAUCGGCCACACUGGAACUGAGACACGGUCCAGACUCCUACGGGGGGAAGCAGUAGGGAAUCUUCCGAAAUGGGCGAAAGCCUGACGGAGCAACGCCGCGUGAGUGAUGAAGGUCUUCGGAUCGUAAAACUCUGUUAUUAGGGAAGAACAUAUGUGUAAGUAACUGUGCACAUCUUGACGGUACCUAAUCAGAAAGCCACGGCUAACUACGUG